Molecule: long non-coding RNA, 782 nt
Filed under: Sitophilus oryzae (rice weevil)
Lineage: Eukaryota; Metazoa; Arthropoda; Insecta; Coleoptera; Curculionidae
Description: uncharacterized LOC115881856, transcript variant X3
Source: RNAcentral
UUUCAAAUAACAUGAAUGGAUGAAUGGAAAAAAAUAAUGAUUAUUCACUUUUAUUUAAUUGAUAUUGAAAUAAUAAACACCUAUAAAAAUAUGUAUUAAACUCAGAAUGAAAAACAUUCAAAUGUUAUUGGACCGGCAAAUGUCAUUUUUUUGGAUUGUAUGUUGCCAGUUGCUAAGCAACCCAGAAACAAUAAUGCGUUUACUUCCCAUAAGCAUGAAAUCCAGUGAGUUUUUAACAACCAUUCCUGUUUUUUUGUAAAGAUCUUUGCUACAAUUAAUUUCAAAUGGAGUAGGUAAAUGGCGGAGGUGCAUAUAAUUGGUCAAAUUACCGAAGCAAAAGAAUUUCCAAAACAAGAACUUUUUUGUAAAUGGUAUAUUCAAAUAGAUUUGUGAAUACUAAUGAGCGCGUAUAAAUAGGAAAUAAUUGGAGGAUUAUAGAGGGCAAAAAAGAAGGACAAACCCAGGUUUCCUCGUCCCAUUUUACAGAAUCAUGCAACUGGUUAUUUCCUAUCGAUAUCCAUUUAGCCACUGCCGGAGUUAGAGCUACCCUGUAUCUCUUACCGUUUCCGAGAUCCCAAUGGUGAGAGCCGAAUUUGAAACACCCUGUGAAGUAUUAUUUCUUAUAAAAUGGCUAUUUUUUUUAUGUGAUCUGUAAUCUGUAUAUUUUAAGGUAAAACCUGUAAUAAAUGAUAUUAAAUGCGCUACUUUGUUUUCAUAAAAUUUUAUUAAAUGAUGGGAACUUUUGUUGCGGGCAGAGGCGGGCAUUUUUUUGGGAGCCACUA